RNAcentral lists this long non-coding RNA (1798 nucleotides) under Marmota monax (woodchuck). Lineage: Eukaryota; Metazoa; Chordata; Mammalia; Rodentia; Sciuridae. The record is from RNAcentral.
CAAGAUCUCUCUGCAAGAUGGGGCCAGGCUGACCUUCUGUCUUCCCCUGCAGUUCGCCACAUGUCCUUACUGCCAGAAUCCUGUUCCCCCAAUCCCCUGCCUGUCAUCAUCUUUUCAUGGUUCAGGUUUACCUUCUCAAGGAGGACCUCUGUGAUCCCUUAAGUAAAGCAGGUCACUCUGCAGGAUCCUGCCUCAUAUUAGAAAGUAUCUUGCUCUGUCUUUGCUGUUUAUUAUCUGCCCGCUAGAGUACAAGUUCCCUGAGGGCACAGUCCUCCUCUAACCUAUUGCUCUCAAUGCCUAGACCAGGACCUGACAUCCAGAGAUGCUUAGCAAAUAUCCGUUGAGUGAAUGACCAAGCUGCUGCCAGGGCAAGCGGAUGUUGGUGGACAGGGGUGCUGAAGCCUAAAGUGAACUGACCUUCAUAUCUUCGGAUCACUCUGACCAUGUACAACUAGAGGUGGCCAUAUAGGAAAACAGGCCAUUCAGCUACCAUUAACUUAGGUGUAUUCUGCUCCUGAUCUGAUGCAGUACCAGCUAAUUAGCCCAUCAUGUCCUGCUUCUCUCCCCGCUAUUACCCAUGACCAUACCUCAGUUUUCUACUACUUAAAGAGUCCCAAAGGCUUCUCUCUCUCUCUCUCUCUCUCUCUCUCUCUCUCUCUCUCUCUGGAGAAACCAAAGUCCUACAUAGUCCGCCUCCUCUCCUCUCUCUGAUAUCCUCUGUCACCCGUGCUCUGCGACAGCCACAAUGGCCUUUUUAAGAUCCACAAGUCACACUUUUGCCUUCUUCAACUCCUCACUCCAGUGAGCCCCUCUGUCACCAUUCUAUUUAAAAUUAAAAUAUUUCUACAGACUCUAUAUUUCUUUCCCUGCUUUAUUUUUCUCCAAAGCACUUAACACCUUCUAACAUAAUAAGUAGUUUGUUUAUUCAGUAGCUGUCUGUCUUUCCCCAUGUGACAGUCAGCUUGCUAAUCACCAAAGGCCCAUUCUCCAUGCUGGGAACUGUGUUUUCCAGAGAUGCCCUUGCAUUUAGCCAGGGCCAUGUGACUAGUUCUUGCUGGUGGACUUAGAGCAGAAGUAUGACUCUGAAUGAGCACUCAGAAAUAGGCUGGGCCAAAAACACCUGUAUGGAACUCUAAACUUAACAGAUACGAGACAUUUAUUGUAUUAACCCACUGAGCUCUAUUUGUUAUGGCAUCUAUGACUACACCUCGAUCACUGUCUUUCACUAGAAUGGAAGCUGUCUAUGCCCAGUGCCCCACACAGUUUGGCACUUUGUAGAUAUUUUUAAAUAUCUGUUGAGUGAGUGAACAAACAAAUGCAUGAACAAAUUCCUUUUUCACCACCAAUAAGGAAAAUAAGUGGAUGGUUGGAAAGGAAUGGAAAAAAUGGAAAAUGGAAUAGGAUUAGUUGGAGUGGGUGUAUUUGAAAAAAUAGAAACUGAAGCCAGGCACAGUGAUGCAUGCAGUAAUUCCAGCUGCUGGAGAGGAUGAGAUAGUAAGAUCACAAGUUCUAGGCCACCCUAGGCAACUUAGCAAGACCCUGUCUCAAAAGGAAAAGUUAAAAAAAAAAAAAUAGCUGGGAAUAUCUCUGUAGUUCAUCACUUGCCUACCACGUAGGAGGCCCUGAAUUAAAAUCCCAGUCCCACUGGGUGCCAUGUCGCACACCUGUAAUCCCAGUUGCUCGGGAGGCUGAGACAGGAGGAUAGCGAGUUCAACGCCAGCCUCAGCAAUGGCGAGGCACUAAGCAACUCAGUGAGACCUUGUCUAUAAAUGAAAUACAAAAUAGGGCUGGGGAUGUG